GGUGUUGGUGAUACCAGUAUAGCUCGUUCAUUGCCCUGGCAUUAAUUAGAGAAUACUUUAGGUUCAGUGUAGGAGGUAUGACUGAUGUGGCUGAGAUAAAGGGACACAGGAGAGCAUAUGUUGGUGCAAUGCCUGGUAAAGUGAUACAGUUUAGAGAAAGUACUAACUGAGAAUCUACUCAUACUGAUUGAUGAACUGGGACAUGGUACCAGAGAGUCAUUGGCUCAGAUCAUUGAGGCUGG
Molecule: long non-coding RNA, 242 nt
Organism: Amphimedon queenslandica
Lineage: Eukaryota; Metazoa; Porifera; Demospongiae; Haplosclerida; Niphatidae
Exons: 3
Source: RefSeq, a predicted model, not a curated record